GAUGAAGAACGUAGCGAAAUGCGAUACUUGGUGUGAAUUGCAGAAUCCCGUGAACCAUCGAGUCUUUGAACGCAAGUUGCGCCCGAAGCCAUCAGGUUGAGGGCACGUCUGCCUGGGCGUCACAUAUCGUUGCCCAAUGCCUAUUGCAGUGCAAUAGGAAUUUCUAGGGCGAAUGAUGGCUUCCCGUGAGCGUUGUUGCCUCGCGGUUGGUUGAAAAUCGAGUCCUUGGUAGGGUGUGCCAUGGUAGAUGGUGGUCGAGUUAGAACGAUACCGAUCAUGUGCAUGCUCCCCAAAAUAUGGCCUCUAUGACCCACACGCGUCUUUUGACGCUCAUGACGAGACCUCAGGUCAGGCGGGGCUACCCGCUGAAUUUAAGCAUAUCAAAAGCGGGGA
RNAcentral lists this unclassified non-coding RNA (393 nucleotides) under soil metagenome. Its description in RNAcentral is "partial contains 5.8S ribosomal RNA, internal transcribed spacer 2, and large subunit ribosomal RNA". The stretch from base 1 to 122 matches the Rfam family "5.8S ribosomal RNA", at positions 35 to 154 of the family's 154-position model. The record is from RNAcentral.